GCAGCAGGUCGGUUUGUCGCCACGGCGCUAUUGUCGUGGAGGAAAGUCCGGGCAACGCAGAGCGCCAUACUUCCUAACGGGAAGCUAUCCGCGAGGGUAGAUCAGCGUAACAGAAAACGACCGCCCCGGCCGGUGCCGGGGUAAGGGUGAAAAGGCGAGGUAAGAGCUCACCGGGCAUUGCAGCAAUGCAGUGCGCCGUACGCAUUAUGGGUUGCAAGGCCAUGUAUAUCGGAUUUUAGGGUUGCUCGCCCGAUGCCGAGGGGUAGGCCGCUAAAGGGGAGUGGCGACACUUUCCCGUAGAUAAAUGACAAACGUCCGCUUCGGCGGAAUACAGAACCCGGCUUACAGACCGGCUGCUUUU
Molecule: RNase P RNA, 361 nt
Filed under: Proteiniphilum sp.
Lineage: Bacteria; Pseudomonadati; Bacteroidota; Bacteroidia; Bacteroidales; Dysgonomonadaceae
Description: RNase P RNA component class A
Rfam family: Bacterial RNase P class A
About the family: Ribonuclease P (RNase P) is a ubiquitous endoribonuclease, found in archaea, bacteria and eukarya as well as chloroplasts and mitochondria. Its best characterised activity is the generation of mature 5'-ends of tRNAs by cleaving the 5'-leader elements of precursor-tRNAs.
Source: RNAcentral